UCUCAAGGUAAGAGAAAAGUCAUGUCUUGGUCCAUGUUCUUCUCAGAGGCUGAUUCAAUCACGAUGAGUCGGAGAUAUUCUUCUGAGAGGCUGAAUCAAUCACGGUGAGUCGAAGAUGUUUUGAUGCAUGUAAAGAUAAAAAAAAAAGAAUAUGUCAAUAGAUACUCUUUUAUACCAGAUUGAUACACAUUUUUUAAAAGAGAGAAGGGGAACCUUUACAUGCAUAUACAAUCUCUAUACCCAAUUGAUACUCUUUUAUACCAACUUGAUACACUUUUAUACCAUAUUGAUACACUUUUUUAAAAAAAAAAAGAAGGGGAACCUAUAGAUGCAUAUACAGUCUUUAUACCCAUUUAAUACAUUUUUAUGUCACAUUAAUAUACUUUUAUACUACAUUAAUAUACUUUUUUAAAAAGGGAGAGGGAAUUCUUUGCAUGCACAUGCAAUCCCUAUACUCAGUUGAUAUUCUUUUAUACCACAUUGAUACACUUAAAUUCAACAUCACAUAUCCACUGACCUCCGUAUUUAUCAUUAUUGAAACUAAAACUAAAGUUGAAGUCAUUAUUUUGUAUCAAUUUUGAGAAAAGUUACAAUGGGAAAAAAUUAUAGGAAGCUAAUUGAAUGCAGAUUUUUGAAGAUUUUAUACAAAAUUUAUGGAAUAAGAAAGAUUAAUUGAAGUAUCGAAAAAGAUAAAAGAAUGAAGGUUUGGGAGUUUGAAUGGAAAGGAAAAUUUGAAUGAAAAGGAAAGAAAGAGAAAGUUACUUUAACGACAUUUUCAAUUAUGUUUACGCGUAUGGCAGUGAAGAUUAGCUAGUGAAAUUAGUUUGUGGCUAUUUAUAGAAUAUUUAAUUUUGAGUGCUAUUUUUAUGAUAUUAUUUUAAUUUUAGGUGUUAUUGUUGUCCCUUUCCCUAAUAUUUAUCCAUUAGUAACAGAUUAAUACAAAAUCCAAUAUUAAUAUAAAAACCUAUAACUCUUCAAUUGCUUCACUUUACAUUUUACUUUCCAAGUUUUUAAAAAGUUCUCAUUAUUUCUUCAUCUUACUUUCAUCUUACUUUUCUCAUUCUCCUCAACUUUCAUCUUACUCUUCUCAUUCUCCUCAUUCGUCAAAUUUUGAUUUAGGUUUGUUUCUCUUCUUUCUCUUUUUUCUUGUGAAAUUAUGUUAUAAUUAAUUAUUUUAUGAAAUUAAAUUUUUAACAAGUUAUCUCCAAUUCUUCAUUCUUCUUUAUGCUCACAUUUUAUGUGAAUGGAAACUUUCAGACAAAUUCUUCUUUAUGCUCACAUUUUAUGUGAAUGGAAACUUUCAUGUGAAUGGAAACUUUCAGACAAACUAUUGUGACAGUGACUUACAAAUUGAACUACUGAAUAUCCACAUAAUAUUACUUUGAGAGAUAGUAGUUUAAUCGUCUUAGUAAUUUGCCAACUUAAUUUUAAUUAGAACUACUCUAUGACUAUUGUUUUUUUAUAUAUCUUUUUAGUGAAAACAUUUAAUUUUUUCUUCAAUCACAUUAUAAUUAAAAAAAAAACGAAAUAUAAAAACCGAUUGUAUAUUGAUUUGAUUUGGCUUAUACAUUUAGAAAAACGACAUUGUUGGUUUGGUUAUAUUUUAAUAAAAAACCGAACCAACACUGCUGGGACAUAUUAUCAAAAUAAAUCUACAUUUUACUAAAGAUAAACAGAACAUGAGGUUGUCACAUAUAUUCAAAUAUAAUUCUUCUCCCUAAAGUCAAGCAAUUCAGUCAAUCAUGUCAAAAAUUUACCAUAAUCAACUCAAUUGUCACACUAACAAAUAAUUAAAUAGAUGAAUAACAAAGAUUUCCCCAAACAUAACAUCAGUCAACCUUUGUUAGGCCAACUAAAAGACCUCAGGUUACCAUACUUAGCGCACUAGAAUCUUCAAAAUCAAAUUAAAACUGUAAUUCUCUCUUGAUGAACGGAAUCAGUAUCAACAAAGCACAACUUCAUUUUAAAAAAUAGAACAAAUCCUUGGGCAUGCACAAUUAGGUUUGACCAAAAUCGAUAGGUAAGCAUAUGAAUUAGAACCAAAAUUAGGGUCAAAAUUAAGCACAUGCAAAUUUGGGCGUUUUCACAUAUGCCAGACUAGAGAUGCAAAUAAACACAUAAUUUAGACAUUGAACCACAAUUCUAACUCUAACACCAUGGAUUUUAAAUCUGAGAACUCAAAUAACAAAGAAAACAACGUCAUGCAAUUAAAGAAAAAGGGUCCAACCAGGACAUAAAUAGAGUGACCUUCCUCGAAAACCUCGCGUUUAUCGACUCCGGCAAGGAUGUGAAUAUUGAGAGGAGUCUUGGAGGAAUACCCGCGACUAUCGCGCAACGGUGGCGACGGGGUUCUCCGGUUGUGGACUGGCG
RNAcentral lists this long non-coding RNA (2370 nucleotides) under Capsicum annuum. RNAcentral's name for it is "long non-coding RNA (CANN_LNC009552)". Lineage: Eukaryota; Viridiplantae; Streptophyta; Magnoliopsida; Solanales; Solanaceae. The record is from RNAcentral.